RNAcentral lists this ribosomal RNA (501 nucleotides) under uncultured bacterium. RNAcentral describes it as "partial 16S ribosomal RNA". It matches the Rfam family "Bacterial small subunit ribosomal RNA", at positions 30 to 523 of the family's 1533-position model. The record is from RNAcentral.
AUUGAACGCUGGCGGCAGGCUUAACACAUGCAAGUCGAGCGGAGAUGAGGUGCUUGCACCUUAUCUUAGCGGCGGACGGGUGAGUAAUGCUUAGGAAUCUGCCUAUUGGUGGGGGACAACAUUCCGAAAGGAAUGCUAAUACCGCAUACGUCCUACGGGAGAAAGCAGGGGAUCUUCGGACCUUGCGCUAAUAGAUGAGCCUAAGUCGGAUUAGCGAGUUGGUGGGGUAAAGGCCUCCCAAGGCGACGAUCUGUAGCGGGUCUGAGAGGAUGAUCCGCCACACUGGGACUGAGACACGGCCCAGACUCCUACGGGAGGCAGCAGUGGGGAAUAUUGGACAAUGGGGGGAACCCUGAUCCAGCCAUGCCGCGUGUGUGAAGAAGGCCUUAUGGUUGUAAAGCACUUUAAGCGAGGAGGAGGCUACUGAGACUAAUACUCUUGGAUAGUGGACGUUACCCGCAGAAUAAGCACCGGCUAACUCUGUGCCAGCCGCCGCAGUAA